Molecule: long non-coding RNA, 6010 nt
Organism: Erpetoichthys calabaricus (reedfish)
Lineage: Eukaryota; Metazoa; Chordata; Cladistia; Polypteriformes; Polypteridae
Exons: 2
Source: RefSeq, a predicted model, not a curated record
AUCAAUUAGGCCGAAGACUGUUUAUACGCGUUAGGCAGCGAUUCUCUUUAAACUAUUCUUUAUGCUGUAGAAAAUGAACAUGUUUUGAAUGCUCACCUUCUUGCGGUGCAGGUGCUUAAAACAGACCCCCUCCCCACACCCCCAAUCCCUAACAAAAAAGAAGGGGACGGAGAGGGGGGGGAGAGAGAGAGAGAGAAAUAGAGAGAGGGAAGGGAGAGAGAGAGAGAGAGAGAGAGCGGAGGAAGAAGAUGAAGAAAAAGAAGAAGAAGAAGAACACGAACAAGAAAUCAGGGGGAUGUCUCUGGAACUGCCUCGCAUUUUCCCCUUCCCCUUACCUCUGCUGCAUUUUGCAUCAGCUAUCUAGGUCAUUAGCAUUUUAGCGUAUGCAAGACUUGACAAAGCUGAUGAGAAGCCAGAUGGGCCCGCUCCUAUUUUUUGCACCGCUUGGGAGUUGAGCAAAAGGACUGACUGCAGUAAGCCAGGAUUUUUUUUUAAAACCAUCACCAAGGCCCGUCACUGCACCACCACCAGAACUGCGCCCGCAGAAACUCCAAAGGAAAUUAAGCAGGCAGGAUGUGCGAGGGCUCUCCACAGACAAUAGAUUUCGGGACGGAUUUUUAUGCCACAUUUGCAAAACAAUCAUAUGGCUGAGGAACACCAAGCGGAGGAGGUAGACAUUUUUGGUGCAAGAUCGCGUGAAAAGAAAGCUGCAGCCCCAGUAUCUUCAGCAAUGCGGCUGCACGCUAGAUAGCUGCUGCUGUUGCUGCUGCUGCAGCAGAUGAGGAGGAUGAUUUCAGGGUUUUUAUUGGAAAAAUGAUUCUGCAUCCGACGAAAAACGAAGCGGCCUGUCUCUCUUCGUGUUCACAGCGGACCUUGAUUUAAAUGUCCAUACAAUUAAGGCACGCGGUGAAUGCCAAGAGAGCGGCCAAAGAGCAUCCCAGAGCAAAAAAGGGUACGUGUUGAUCGAGCACAGGGAUUGCAUUUAUUGUCUAGUCAUGAAAAAAUACACGAGUAUUAAAUGUACCUGAUCUGGAUAUAGUUGGUAAUGGGGAUCAUAGCUGCGUGAUGUGCAAACACAUUCUCAAUUAUUCAUAAUGGUUGUAAAGUAAUGCAUAUUUAUUUAUGCAUGUGCGUACAAGCCAUGGGUUGUGCAUAUGUCUGUGUGUGUAUGCGUGUAAAUAUUUGAGUGAAGUGGUAUGGAAUCGCAACUUUACCAUCCAGUGUAUUGAUUAUGUUGCCGUAUAUACUGUGAACAUAUGUUAUGUUCUAUAUAUGUUCUGUUUUCCCAUACAUGUUGUCUGAGGUCAUGUCAUCAGUAUAAGUCAAAUUAAGAAAGCUCAGUAUAUGACAAAUACAAUUGUUCUGUCUCUAGUACACAUACUAGGUGCAUUAACUGAAGAAACUAUUCGUCAUAAAUAAUGUUUCUGGUAAGUUGUAGACAAAUUAUGUUAAAAUGAAAUAGAAUAAAAUAGACAUCAGUUAUUGCCAGUGCAUCCGGGAAUUCAGCUAUAUAUUAAAAAAAUAUUUAUGCUUUAAUAGUCUUACGUAAUAUUUUAAAAGUAUGUAUUAGAUUGCCAUACAGAAAAAAAUAAUAUGUUGGAGCUUUGGAUGAGUGUUAGGAUGGAUGAGUGUUGGUACUGGGAAAGGGGGUGGGGAAGGGGGUGGGGGUCUGAUAUUUCUGAUUUCCUGGUUCGAGUCCGUGGAGUCUAAAGUGACCAAAAAAUAUGAGGACUAUGCCAAGUGUUUUUUAAGAAAAAAAAAUCCGACGUGUAUAUAUAAAGAGGUAAAUUAAUGUUUAUGGUUUUGGUUAGUUAUAGAAAAUUAAUUAAUGUGAUAUAAUUAAGACGGAAUGUUUUAUUAGCAUUUGUAACAAUUUUACAUUGUUAAAGCUAAAGCAGAACUUCAGGUACACACAUAUUUUACAAAAGAUGUAAGCGGAUAAAGAAAAGGGAAGGGCUGGACCUUUGUGAAAACUAACCUUAAAAUUUCUAAAGUCGCGUAUGGUGAAGGUAAUGACCACGACAUUGCACGCAAGCACCACUCCCAUCCCCCAAAAGCCAGAUCUUUGUCAGUGAUUGAUGCGUGAUUAUAUUUUUAUAUUACAGACCGCAUUUAAAUCACUAGACAAUACCCCCCAUCCCACCCCCAAAGCCGAGAUUUUAAUUGGAUGUAAAUAGCAUCAGCUUUUGCGACAGAAUGAAACCUUAGGGGAAGCGCAUUUCUGUGUUAAUUGUCAGCAUUAUUGAUGAAUACGGUGCACUCGAUACGUUAGUUGCGUACAAUGAGAAAGGUGAUUUUCAAACGUUUGGUAGGAGUUCAUGUAGCGUCCGCGAGCCGAGCCUCCUCCUCCUCCUCCUCUUCCUCCUCCUCCUCCAUCUAUAAGGGCGUGCACUCCACUCCGGUGCUAAGAAUUUCGUUCAGAGGCUUCCCGUUACACGUGAAGAGUCAAAUAAGCCAUCUCGUGCAGGGGCCUACCGGCAGUGACCGUCUCUGUGAAGAACACGCCUGUUGUUCGCCCCGCAACACCUUAAUGUACGCACUCGGCUUGACCUGCAGACCCUCUGUAAUGGCCAGUCAGUUUAGCAUCUCUUAUUAUGGCGCACUCGGGCCUUAGCCGUCUCAAGGACAACGCUUUGAAGUUCGUUCGUCUCAGUUCAAAGGAUGGGAAUGAACACGCUGUUUGUACGGGUUAAGAAUUUUAUUUAAAGCGGGGAUUUUUUUUUAAUAUCCCAUCGGGUUGAAAUGAGAAAAUAACAAAAAACGAUUUCUCCGUUAAAGUCUUUAGCCUUCAGGAAAUCAGCCUAAUUAUUUAUUUUCAAAAAUAUCCAAUACAUUCUCACUUUAAUGGUCAAUCAUUCUUUUAUGUAACAAUAAUAUUUCAGUGACAGAAAUAAAUAUUACACAUUUAAACAAUACAUGUUAACAGCAUUGUUGUUUUUCUUCUCAAUUUCAAUAAGUGCUCAAUACUCGAGCUAUUAUUAUUUACUGCAGCACAGUGUCACUUGCAAACACACCGAAUAACAUUUAUUUUGCAACUGCAAUAUCACAGAUCUUAAUUUCCACAUACAAUUUAUAAGCGGUAGGCUUGUGUAGUCUACAGUACAUUAAAAUACCACUUGCACCUUAAAAGUCCGACAUUUGUAUGGCUGUUAGACUAACUCAUCUGGGUAGUUAAUACUGCGAUAUAAUCAAACAACGUAACCGUCUUCGAACCAAUUAAAAAGACAUAAAAAGUAUUUAAAAAGCACAGAUAAACGAAAAACGAAGUAAAAAUGUUAAAAGGUCGUGACAUUUAUUUACGAGUUAACUGUGACAGGCAGACAGAGACCUUAAAGUGUUAGUGACAUAGCAGGAUUGAGAUUAUAUAUAAUUUGGGCACCGAUUAGUUUGCACAAACACCGCGGAGGUCACUUAGGAACAAAUAUUACAGCAAAACGUGUUCGUUAUUUUAAAAGAGAGUUGACCGUGUAAUUAAGAGAUAAUUAUUAGCUUUGGCUACAUGAAAUAAAAAUGGUGCUUUUGAAUGAUUCACAAUAAAAACGUGUAAAUUGAACACCGCUACUAAAAUUUAAUGAACCUGUGUGCCGUGUUCAAAGUGAGAAAGUCUCCAUUUAGCUUGUUUGUAUUCAGUCUUCUCAAAGCACUGCAUAUUAAAACAAAUCACCAUAAAGCAGUGGUGCAUAUUUCAAAUGGAGUCCUGCACCUUAAAUAGAGCAGCUUUUCACUUUCUUAAUUUCAGUUUAUAUAAUGGCAUUUCAGGUUAUAAUGAUAGAACACCAACUAGUGCAUGCUUUGGUCCAUGCGCAACAUAAAUUAAGAAACAUUUGUAUUGUUAGAAUGAAAUGACACCAUUAGUAGUAUGAAAAAAGCGAAUUUGUACUGCGGUAACACAUUCAAAAUGAUAAACAUGUCUGUAUGUUAAAACAGUUCUAUUACAAUGAACACGUACUACCUGUGAAUGUUACGAAAUGUGAUUACAUUAUUUAUUAAAAAUCGAAUCUUUCUUCAAAAACACUGAAACAAAUUCGCGUCUCGCUUGUGUCACAAGCAUCUAUCUAUCUAUCUAUCUAUCUAUCUAUCUAUCUAUCUAUCUAUCUAUCUAUCUAUCUAUCUAUCUAUCUAUCUAGCAUCGAUUUUUUUUUCAAAAUGCUGUGUACAGUUUUCUUUUAUUGUCUUUGUUUAAAAUUUUAAAACUAUCAUAUAUAAAGUCAUUAUUAUGUUUAUGUCUGUCUGACUGUUUUGUCACGCGACGUUUGCCCCGUAGAAAAGAGGAUAUUGAAAAAGGUUUAGUGUCACAUCAAAAUUGCAUAUGUGACAUUAACAAAAAAGAAUUCUACAGUUAGAGCAACUAAUUUAUUACACAAAACCAAAAAAUGCACUCUUGCCCUAUUUAUAAUUCCGUAAAAAAAACUUGUCGACGUUUAAUAUAUUAAUUACUUGUUCUUCCUAGCUGAGAUGUAACGCUUAAACGUCACGAGUUAAAAUGUAAUGAUAGCGGCAUCAGGAUAAGCAGGUCCGAAAAAGGACGGGAUGCGUGACAGAGUAGCAAACAGAGCAAAUCUAUAGGGCACAGAGCACUGACUGCUAAUUCAUUUGCUCAUUGAUUGGGAUUUGCGAUUCUACUUAUGCGGUGUUUUUGAUUAUAUGCCUUUAAACCUUUCUUUCUUGUUUAAUAAGUACAGUGUGUUAAAAUCGAACGAAGCCCACUCAUGUUGUACGGCGAGACGAGACCUUCAGUAGGAUACCACGACGGAGCAGUGGGCUACGUCACUCACGUUCGCAGUAUCGGUAUGUGCGCGCAUACACAGACCAGGAGCUUCUCUUACCAGUAAUGAGGAGGAAUGCUCGGCCAUACACAAGCACAGCAGAAACAAAAAGCGUAUAAUUUAACCGUCAUUACAUAUAUAAAAGGCCACAUCAAAUUGAAAAUCAUUUUGGCAACAUUUUAAGAAUCUUAAUUUAAUUCGGAUAGUACGAUUUUUUUAAACAAGCCUUGUAAAUUGCGUUAUAAUUCGAAAAGGUGCAAGUGUCCGACAAGAAGCUAACGUGCCUCGGUUUACCGUAAUGCAGAAUCCGCGGAGCUAAACUUCACGUCCAACAGAGCGAGUGCAGAUGAACAGGAACGAGGGGUACAGAAGCUCCAGUACACACUAACCCGUGUAACGUGACACACUCGGCACGGACGUAUUCGCCAUUUAAAACAUUUCUUAUGUAACCUGGUUCUUUAUUUACAUCCGCCUAUCAAUUUUCUUAGCUAUACAGUAACUGUAAUUAUUUUGACAUUGAUUUCAUGUUAAACUCCGUAGUUCCAGAUAUACCGUAAAUGUGCGCCAUGGGUGCUCAGUUUAGUUUUUUUGUUAUAAAUCUAAUUUGUUCUAAAUUUACUUUUUUAUUCUGAUCAAAUAAUUUACACCUUUUAUCUAACUUAACCCACAAUCACUAUAACAGCGCAAACUUCAUUGUGUUAAGAACUUUUAAAAACACCAAAUUCUUUGCACUUAGAGUGUCGUUUUUGUUUGUUACAAGUAAACACGGAAAUCAAACCAUUAGUCUGAAAAAUUAUUAAAAUCAGGAUGCAUAAAUUAUUCAUUUUUAAUGUAAUUGAUUUACAAUGCCAUUAGCUGCAUUAUCUUUUUGUGAAAUAAAACCAUUUGAAAAAUACGAAUGAGGAAUUCACAAACAUCUGUUUCAUCACAGUAAUGAAUAAUGAAGUUUACCCUUUUGCUGGAAUUCCAGAUCUGUAUAUUGAGGAUGUAAUUCUUAUUCUGUUAGUAUGACAUCUUUUUAUUUACACAAACACUUUAGUAAUGCAUUCAUAUUUUAUUCCUGUAGGUUGAAAAAAAAAAAUCAUCCCAUACAUUUUUCAACGUAAGCCCCUACAAAUUCAACAUAAUUAUUCAGUUUCUGUCAGAUAGACUUAACAUUUCUUCAAAUGCUCUUUUAUUUCACAUCAACGUUCAAAUUUAAAACUGCAUCGUUUUGUCAUUUUGCAUCACCCCUUGGCUGUUUG